CGACAAAGGCAAGGAAAUUACGCCUGGGGAUCACUAAGCUGAGUACACCCGAAAUCUGAACUUUUGAAACCUGUUGGGUUAGCCUGUAGAUAGCAGACAUCGUCGAGAACUAUAGUUGGCCAUACUACUUCAAAAACUGUAGGUUUACUAUCUUUACUACUUUUGUUCAUUUGUGGGCUCACGUAGCACUGUAAAUUAAAUUUCAUACUUUGGUUU
This is a non-coding RNA of Theobroma cacao (cacao), 216 nucleotides long. The record is from RefSeq and is a predicted model, not a curated record. Lineage: Eukaryota; Viridiplantae; Streptophyta; Magnoliopsida; Malvales; Malvaceae.